GGGCCCUUAGCUCAGUCUGGUCAGAGCGCUCGGCUCAUAACCGGGUGGUCAGGGGUUCGAACCCCCUAGGGCCCA
Molecule: transfer RNA, 75 nt
Filed under: Halobellus limi
Lineage: Archaea; Methanobacteriati; Methanobacteriota; Halobacteria; Halobacteriales; Haloferacaceae
Also listed under: 2 other names
Description: Halobacteriaceae archaeon TBN53 tRNA
Rfam family: tRNA
About the family: Transfer RNA (tRNA) molecules are approximately 80 nucleotides in length. Their secondary structure includes four short double-helical elements and three loops (D, anti-codon, and T loops). Further hydrogen bonds mediate the characteristic L-shaped molecular structure. tRNAs have two regions of fundamental functional importance: the anti-codon, which is responsible for specific mRNA codon recognition, and the 3' end, to which the tRNAs corresponding amino acid is attached (by aminoacyl-tRNA synthetases). tRNAs cope with the degeneracy of the genetic code in two manners: having more than one tRNA (with a specific anti-codon) for a particular amino acid; and 'wobble' base-pairing, i.e. permitting non-standard base-pairing at the 3rd anti-codon position.
Source: Rfam by way of RNAcentral